Molecule: ribosomal RNA, 595 nt
Filed under: Pseudagrion rubriceps
Lineage: Eukaryota; Metazoa; Arthropoda; Insecta; Odonata; Coenagrionidae
Description: partial large subunit ribosomal RNA
Rfam family: Bacterial large subunit ribosomal RNA
Source: RNAcentral
UUUUGUUUUUUUUUUUUUUUCUGUUUUUCUUUUUCCCCUUUUUUUUUCUUUCGCCCUUGUUUUAUCAAAAACAUGUCCUCAUGAUUUUAUUUGAGGUUUGGCCUGCCCGGUGAUUUAUUUAACGGCCGCGGUAUUUUGACCGUGCAAAGGUAGCAUAAUCAUUAGUCUUUUAAUAGGAGGCUGGAAUGAAAGGUUUAACGAAAAAUUAACUGUCUCGAUUAUAAUUUUGAAUUUAACUUUUAAGUUAAAAGGCUUAAAUUUUGUUGGAGGACGAGAAGACCCUAUAGAGCUUUACAUCUUGCUUUAGUGAUUUUAUUCAGUUAAAUAAUUUAAUUUUAUUUUAGUGGGUGUUUUGUUGGGGUGACAAGAAAUAUAUAAUUAACUUUUAUUAUUGUGUUUUCAUUAAUUUAUGUGAAUUGGAUCCAAAAAUUUUGAUCAUUAGAUUAAGUUACCUUAGGGAUAACAGCGUAAUCUUCCUUCAGAGUUCAAAUUUACAGGAAGGCUUGCGACCUCGAUGUUGGAUUAAGAUAAUAAUUAGGUGCAGUAGCUUAAUUAAUAGGUCUGUUCGACCUUAAAUCUACAGAUCUUUCACGUC